CCUACGGGUGGCAGCAGUAGUGAAUCUUCCACAAUGGGCGAAAGCCUGAUGGAGCAACGCCGCGUGGGUGAAGAAGGUCUUCGGAUCGUAAAACCCUGUUGUUAGAGAAGAAAGUGCGUGAGAGUAACUGUUCACGUUUCGACUGUAUCUAACCAGAAAGCCACGGCUAACUACGUGCCAGCAGCCGAGGUAAUGCGAAGGUUGCAAGCGUUAUCCGGAUUUAUUGGGCGUAAAGUGAACUCAGGCGGUCUUUUAAGUCUGAUGUGAAAGCCUUGGGCUUAACCGGAGUAGUGCAUUGGAAACUGGAGGACGUGAGUGCAGAAGAGGAGAGUGGAACUCAAUGUGUAGCUGUGAAAUGCGUAGAUAUAUGGAAGAACACCAGUGGCGAAGGCGGCUGUCUGGUCUGUAACUGACGCUGAGGUUCGAAAGCGUGGGUAGCAAACAGGAUUAGAUACCCCAGUAGUC
RNAcentral lists this ribosomal RNA (465 nucleotides) under uncultured bacterium. Its description in RNAcentral is "partial 16S ribosomal RNA". It matches the Rfam family "Bacterial small subunit ribosomal RNA", at positions 338 to 795 of the family's 1533-position model. The record is from RNAcentral.